UCAGGAAAUAGUUUAUAUAAAAUAUUAAUUUUGGAGAUUAAUGUAAAAAGGCAAUCUUUUUUUCCUG
RNAcentral lists this transfer RNA (67 nucleotides) under Cryptorhynchinae sp. 7 ACP-2013. RNAcentral describes it as "tRNA-Pro". The record is from RNAcentral. Lineage: Eukaryota; Metazoa; Arthropoda; Insecta; Coleoptera; Curculionidae.